Non-coding RNA from Homo sapiens (human), 1216 nucleotides. Lineage: Eukaryota; Metazoa; Chordata; Mammalia; Primates; Hominidae. The record is from RefSeq and is a predicted model, not a curated record.
UGGAGUUGGUCCUGACUCGGGGGCCUGUCAGUCAUCGGCCAAGGGCCAGGCUUUGGGGUGUCGACUCCCACACAGCUCAGCUCCCUGAAGAUGUGGGCACGGUGGUGGUGGGGGCUGCUGAAGAGUUGCAGAUGCAGCCACUGGAGGGGAGGCUGAGGUCAGUAGCCAGGCUCACAGGGACGACAAUGGGAUGGGAAGCAACACCUGACGGGCUCAGCUACAGGUGCUGACGGAUUCACAGGCAGGUGGCAGAAGGCAGUCAAAUAAAUGAGACAAUACAGCGCCCUCCCUGCGACCACACACACCGCUCACGCCUGUGAGGACAUGGAAGCACAGGGAGGUUAUGCCACUCGCCCAAAGACAACUAAUCAGUGACAGCUGAGACUUGGACUGCAGAACCUACACUUUAUAACUAUUUUACAGUUCUGGGCGUCACGGAAUCUUGCAUGAAGAGCCCCUAACCUGGCCCGGGUGGAGGUCAGGGAGGUCUUCCUGGAAGAGGGGGUUCUUGGCAGCAACUUGCUGGAUUUGGUGUUCCCUGUUGGUUGGCUCUGCUUCCUCAGUGUCAGCAUCAUUCACAGCAGGCAUGUCCCUCCUGCCUCCAAGAGAGUCACCAGCAGCUUCCUCCUCCACAUCUGUGAGUAAAUGAGAGGGUCUAUUCCACCCAAUAACUCAAAUCCCAGUUUCAGGAUUUGACCUGUGGUUGGUCAGACUAGGGACACAAGCCCAUUCCUGAGCCAAUCACUGUGGCUGAAGAGGUGGGAGACACUGAUUGGUCUAAGCCAGUCAAGCACUCUCAAGGCCAAAGUGCAUGGGCAAGAAAUUUAGGACAAGGGGAGGAAGAAAGAAAAGAAAAGAGAAUAUCAAGGAGGCAAAUGACAAAUAAAUACCCACUCCUUUCUUCCCACGAGAGAGAUAUUAUUCCCCCCAUUUCAUGGAGGAGGAAACUGACGAUCAGAGCAGCCAGGAAACAGGAUGGCGUUGUCUGCUGAGGGACGGUGUGUUCCCUGGAGAGGAGAUCCAGCUUGCCAUUGUGGGUUUCUUACAGCAAAAAUCCUGUGUGUACACAUAUGCUGAACAAGGCGCACACAGUCUUCAUACUUCUUUCCCCAAAUCCACUGUUGUACCUCACUCUGGAAACCAAAGAAUACAAAUGGAGAUGAGGCUAAUUUUUGCCCCUCAAAUUGGCAAAGGUGAAUAAAACCAUGUUUCUUGG